Molecule: ribosomal RNA, 407 nt
Filed under: Verrucomicrobiota bacterium
Lineage: Bacteria; Pseudomonadati; Verrucomicrobiota
Description: Verrucomicrobia bacterium partial 16S ribosomal RNA
Rfam family: Bacterial small subunit ribosomal RNA
Source: RNAcentral
UGGGGAAUAUUGGACAAUGGAGGGAACUCUGAUCCAGCAAUUCUGUGUGUGUGAAGAAGGUUUUAGGACUGUAAAACACUUUUAGUAGGGAAGAAAAAAAUGACGGUACCUACAGAAGAAGCAACGGCUAAAUACGUGCCAGCAGCCGCGGUAAUACGUAUGUUGCGAGCGUUAUCCGGAAUUAUUGGGCUUAAAGGGCAUCUAGGCGGUAAGACAAGUUGAAGGUGAAAACCUGUGGCUCAACCAUAGGCUUGCCUACAAAACUGUUGAACUAGAGUACUGGAAAGGUGGGUGGAACUACACGAGUAGAGGUGAAAUUCGUAGAUAUGUGUAGGAAUGCCGAUGAUGAAGAAAACUCACUGGACAGAAACUGACGCUGAAGUGCGAAAGCUAGGGGAGCAAACAGG